AUUGAACGCUGGCGGCAUGCCUUACACAUGCAAGUCGAACGGUAACAGGUCUUCGGAUGCUGACGAGUGGCGAACGGGUGAGUAAUACAUCGGAACGUGCCUAGUAGUGGGGGAUAACUACUCGAAAGAGUGGCUAAUACCGCAUGAGAUCUACGGAUGAAAGCAGGGGAUGGCAAGACCUUGUGCUACUAGAGCGGCCGAUGGCAGAUUCGGUAGUUGGUGGGAUAAAAGCUUGCCAAGCCGACGAUCUGUAGCUGGUCUGGGAGGACGAUCAGCCACACUGGGACUGAGACACGGCCCAGACUCCUACGGGAGGCAGCAGUGGGGAAUUUUGGACAAUGGGCGCAAGCCUGAUCCAGCAAUGCCGCGUGCAGGAUGAAGGCCUUCGGGUUGUAAACUGCUUUUGUACGGAACGAAAAGCCCUGGGUUAAUACCCUGGGGUCAUGACGGUACCGUAAGAAUAAGCACCGGCUAACUACGUGCCAGCAGCCGCCGUAA
This 498-nucleotide ribosomal RNA is filed under the name uncultured bacterium. Its description in RNAcentral is "partial 16S ribosomal RNA". It matches the Rfam family "Bacterial small subunit ribosomal RNA", at positions 30 to 523 of the family's 1533-position model. The record is from RNAcentral.